CACGCCUACAUUAGUUCUUAGACACGGCCCAAACUCCUACGGGGGGCAGCAGUAGGGAAUCUUCCACAAUGGACGCAAGUCUGAUGGAGCAACGCCGCGUGAGUGAAGAAGGCUUUCGGGUCGUAAAACUCUGUUGUUGGAGAAGAAUGGUCGGCAGAGUAACUGUUGUCGGCGUGACGGUAUCCAACCAGAAAGCCACGGCUAACUACGUGCCAGCAGCCGCGGUAAUACGUAGGUGGCAAGCGUUAUCCGGAUUUAUUGGGCGUAAAGCGAGCGCAGGCGGUUUUUUAAGUCUGAUGUGAAAGCCCUCGGCUUAACCGAGGAAGCGCAUCGGAAACUGGGAAACUUGAGUGCAGAAGAGGACAGUGGAACUCCAUGUGUAGCGGUGAAAUGCGUAGAUAUAUGGAAGAACACCAGUGGCGAAGGCGGCUGUCUGGUCUGUAACUGACGCUGAGGCUCGAAAGCAUGGGUAGCGAACAGGAUUAGAUACCCUGGUAGUCCUUGCCGUACACUAUGGGCGCUACCAGUA
RNAcentral lists this ribosomal RNA (529 nucleotides) under Lacticaseibacillus paracasei. Its description in RNAcentral is "bacterial SSU rRNA". It matches the Rfam family "Bacterial small subunit ribosomal RNA", at positions 303 to 824 of the family's 1533-position model. Lineage: Bacteria; Bacillati; Bacillota; Bacilli; Lactobacillales; Lactobacillaceae. The record is from RNAcentral.